GAGGCAUAUGCCCCCUCCCCGCCCCGCCCUCCUCGGGUGCCCCGCGGCUCCCCGCCCGNNNNNNUAUGACUCUCGGCAACGGAUAUCUUGGCUCUCGCAUCGAUGAAGAACGUAGCGAAAUGCGAUACUUGGUGUGAAUUGCAGAAUCCCGCGAACCAUCGAGUCUUUGAACGCAAGUUGCGCCCGAGGCUAUCCGGCCGAGGGCACGCCUGCCUG
This 216-nucleotide ribosomal RNA is filed under the name Ornithogalum orthophyllum subsp. kochii. RNAcentral's name for it is "Ornithogalum kochii 5.8S ribosomal RNA". The stretch from base 68 to 216 matches the Rfam family "5.8S ribosomal RNA". From Rfam's summary of the family: 5.8S ribosomal RNA (5.8S rRNA) is a component of the large subunit of the eukaryotic ribosome. It is transcribed by RNA polymerase I as part of the 45S precursor that also contains 18S and 28S rRNA. Lineage: Eukaryota; Viridiplantae; Streptophyta; Magnoliopsida; Asparagales; Asparagaceae. The record is from RNAcentral.